RNAcentral lists this ribosomal RNA (253 nucleotides) under uncultured bacterium. RNAcentral describes it as "partial 16S ribosomal RNA". It matches the Rfam family "Bacterial small subunit ribosomal RNA", at positions 524 to 776 of the family's 1533-position model. The record is from RNAcentral.
UACGAAGGGUGCAAGCGUUACUCGGAAUUACUGGGCGUAAAGCGUGCGUAGGUGGUUCGUUAAGUCUGAUGUGAAAGCCCUGGGCUCAACCUGGGAAUGGCAUUGGAUACUGGCGACCUAGAGUGCGGUAGAGGGGUGUAGAAUUCCCGGUGUAGCAGUGAAAUGCGUAGAUAUCGGGAGGAACAUCUGUGGCGAAGGCGACACCCUGGACCAGCACUGACACUGAGGCACGAAAGCGUGGGGAGCAAACAGG